GACGAACGCUGGCGGCGUGCUUAACACAUGCAAGUCGAACGGAAAGGCCCUGCUUUUGUGGGGUGCUCGAGUGGCGAACGGGUGAGUAACACGUGAGUAACCUGCCCUGGACUUUGGGAUAACUUCAGGAAAGUGGGGCUAAUACCGGAGAGGAGCUCCUGCUGCAGGGGGGGGGUUGGAAAGUUUCGGCGGGUGGGGAUGGACUCGCGGCUUAUCAGCUUGUUGGUGGGGUAGUGGCUUACCAAGGCUUUGACGGGUAGCCGGCCUGAGAGGGUGACCGCCCACCUUGGGACUGCGAUACGGCCCAGACUCCUACGGGAGGCAGCAGUGGGGAAUAUUGCACAAUGGGCGGACGCCUGAUGCAGCAACGCCGCGUGCGGGAUGACGGCCUUCGGGUUGUAAACCGCUUUCGCCUGUGACGAAGCGUGAGUGACGGUAAUGGGUAAAGAAGCACCGGCUAACUACGUG
This 468-nucleotide ribosomal RNA is filed under the name uncultured bacterium. RNAcentral's name for it is "partial 16S ribosomal RNA". It matches the Rfam family "Bacterial small subunit ribosomal RNA", at positions 28 to 507 of the family's 1533-position model. The record is from RNAcentral.